GCGAUCAUGGCGGAACGGUAGACGCGCUAGACUUAGGAUCUAGUAUUAUUUAAAAAAUGUGCAGGUUCAAGUCCUGUUGAUCGUAUCA
This 88-nucleotide transfer RNA is filed under the name uncultured bacterium. Its description in RNAcentral is "tRNA-Leu". It matches the Rfam family "tRNA". Rfam says of the family: Transfer RNA (tRNA) molecules are approximately 80 nucleotides in length. Their secondary structure includes four short double-helical elements and three loops (D, anti-codon, and T loops). The record is from RNAcentral.